This 491-nucleotide ribosomal RNA is filed under the name uncultured bacterium. RNAcentral's name for it is "partial 16S ribosomal RNA". It matches the Rfam family "Bacterial small subunit ribosomal RNA", at positions 29 to 506 of the family's 1533-position model. The record is from RNAcentral.
AGUGAACGCUGGCGGUAGGCCUAACACAUGCAAGUCGAACGGCAGCACAGUAAGAGCUUGCUAUUACGGGUGGCGAGUGGCGGACGGGUGAGGAAUACAUCGGAAUCUACUUUUUCGUGGGGGAUAACGUAGGGAAACUUACGCUAAUACCGCAUACGACCUACGGGUGAAAGCCGGGGAUCUUCGGACCUUGCGCGAUCGAAUGAGCCGAUGUCGGAUUCGUGCGUUGGCGGGGUAAAGGCACACCAAGGCGACGAUCCGUAGCGGGUCUGAGGGGAAGAUCACACACAGGGGAACAGACACGCGCCCGAGUCCCCCGCGAGGGGCAGCAGGGGAGAAUUUUGGACAAGGGGCGAAACCCAGGUCGAGCCAUAGCGCGAGUGAGAAGAAGGCCUGCGGGUUGUAAAGCCCUUUUGUUGGGAAAGAAAGGCAGCAGGUUAAUACCCCGCUGUUCUGACGGUACCCAAAAAAUAAGCACCGGCAAACUUCUU